GACGAACGCUGGCGGUGUGCUUAACACAUGCAAGUCGAACGGUAAGGCCCUUUAGGGGUUACACGAGUGGCGAACGGGUGAGUAACACGUGAGUAACCUGCACCCACCUCUGGGAUAACAGUCGGAAACGGUUGCUAAUACUGGAACUGAGUUUGCACGGUAUCUUUUAGGUUGGAAAGAUUUUUUUUGGUUGGGGAUGGACUCGCGGCCUAUCAGCUUGUUGGUGAGGUAGUGGCUCACCAAGGCUUCGACGGGUAGCCGGCCUGAGAGGGCGACCGGCCACAUUGGGACUGAGAUACGGCCCAAACUCCUACGGGAGGCAGCAGUGGGGAAUAUUGCACAAUGGACGGAAGUCUGAUGCAGCAACGCCGCGUGCGGGAUGACGGCCUUCGGGUUGUAAACCGCUUUCAAUUGUGACGAAGCUUUUUUGUGACGGUAGCAGUAGAAGAAGCACCGGCUAACUACGUG
This 468-nucleotide ribosomal RNA is filed under the name uncultured bacterium. Its description in RNAcentral is "partial 16S ribosomal RNA". It matches the Rfam family "Bacterial small subunit ribosomal RNA", at positions 28 to 507 of the family's 1533-position model. The record is from RNAcentral.